GGAGCUUCUUCACUCUCAUCAUAUUCUUGGUCAUUCUCAUCAUCUUGUUGAUUGUCCUCCACUUUUAAGAGCAAUGGUUGUGUAAUGCCACUUUCAAGGACAUCAUUUUCUACAUUAUUAGCAGGUUCUUGAGGACCAGUGUUCACUUCAGUUUCAGUAGCAGGUUCUCUGAAUGAGAUCCACAACCAUAUCAAAUAGACUAACCAUGCAAAAGCCAUGAGCCAACCAGGCAAAGUAUCUUGAUUGAAUGUCAACUUGUAAAUCUUAAAAUUAGUUUGGAGUAACCCAGCAAGUGCAGGGCCACAUGCCAUCCCAAGAGCGCUAGCACUGACAAAUCCAGCUGAAGCCUGCAUCCGGAUUUUAAGGGGCACACAGUCACUGAUGUAACGUCGGUUCACUGCUCUGGCAGAACCCAACCCACAAAAUAUUCGACCAAUAAGGAGAACUGGUAUUGAAUUGAGAUCAUAAGCCAGUGCAUACAUGAUAUUCCCCACAAAGAGAACUAUACUGCUAAAUACCAGAGGUCUGAAAUAAGACCUGUUUGACCAAGCACUGAAAUACACAGAGGAAAAGAUCUGUGCAAUAGCCAUGGCACCGAUCACAAUCCCACAAACUGUUGCAGCAGCACCAAGGCUCAUAGAAUAAUCAUCUGCUGUUGGAACAAUGAUAUAUGUAUUGACCAUAUAAAGGAAGGUAUUUGCCAAGUUUAAGAUAAGUGACAUAAAAUGGUAUCUCUGAUCAUCAACUUGUUCUUCAACAGGAGUUGGAAACUCUUCUUGCAUGAUAAGUGCAUGUUGG
RNAcentral lists this unclassified non-coding RNA (798 nucleotides) under Hevea brasiliensis (rubber tree). The record is from RNAcentral. Lineage: Eukaryota; Viridiplantae; Streptophyta; Magnoliopsida; Malpighiales; Euphorbiaceae.